UACAGAGGUGGCAAGCGUUGUUCGGAAUUACUGGGCGUAAAGGGCGCGUAGGCGGCCUUCUAAGUCAGACGUGAAAUCCCCCGGCUUAACCUGGGAACUGCGUCUGAUACUGGGGGGCUUGAGUGCAGGAGAGGGAUGCGGAAUUCCAGGUGUAGCGGUGAAAUGCGUAGAUAUCUGGAGGAACACCGGUGGCGAAGGCGGCAUCCUGGACCGACACUGACGCUGAGGCGCGAAAGCUAGGGUAGCAAAC
This 250-nucleotide ribosomal RNA is filed under the name uncultured bacterium. Its description in RNAcentral is "partial 16S ribosomal RNA". It matches the Rfam family "Bacterial small subunit ribosomal RNA", at positions 524 to 773 of the family's 1533-position model. The record is from RNAcentral.